This 5865-nucleotide long non-coding RNA is filed under the name Bemisia tabaci. RNAcentral's name for it is "lncRNA ENSSSA2NGG006699". Lineage: Eukaryota; Metazoa; Arthropoda; Insecta; Hemiptera; Aleyrodidae. The record is from RNAcentral.
AGAGUGACAGAGGCACCUUAGAUACGUUACCAGAGGGAAAACUCGCCAACAACACGGCCAAUUCACAAUACAAACGUGUCUAUUCCGAUUGGAGGCCUUCCAUUGAUAAAAAUGUGGAUGUAGUUGGUGUGAUGGAAGCCAUUGCAGGCACACAAUCCCAACCUCAGACUAAUGUGAAGGAUAAGACGCCGUGGCGGAAGUCAAAUCUGAAUUCAUCAAAUCUUGUUGAGGAAAGUGAUAAUCGGCGGUUGCGACGAUCAAAUUCUCGUGGUAGCAGCUUCGAAAGUCCUUCUCUCCAGGCCAUCAAAGAGGAGGAGAAACGCAAAGGUCUCAUUGGUAACCUGGGUCAAGACACCUCAGACAGCUUGACCGUUUACCUGCGUCGCCCGAGCGACCCACCUGACACACCCAGCACGUCCGCACGUCUCCGGGCCGGGAAGGUGAGCCCCCUCUUGGCGCGCCGCGUCCUCCCCUCGCUGGACACCCCACCCCGCUCUCCCGAGGAUCAGCACCACCUACCCCCAUUCUCCUCCCCCUCACGACUUAGGUCGGACUCCCUGGUCCAGGACAAGGUGGAGAUCGACUCCGACAACAUCGAGACCCCUCCGGCCACGAGGAAGCUCAUACGGGUAGGCCGGGAGCCAGAACGAGCAUCGACCAGGUCUUCGUCGCCCAGGAAGAAAGACGACGAAGAAGUUCUGGGCGAUGGUCAAUUCGACCGGUUCUCCUCGGCGCGGCGAACCAGGAGGUACCGGAAGUCCCUGGAAGAGGAGCGGCCCGAGGGUGGCGCCUGGGAGAACCUGGGAGACAAACUAGUCAAAAGCACCGACGCCCCGCCCGUCGGGGUGGACACCGAGUCCCGACUGCGCCAGUGGCAAGACCGGCUCAAGUACAAAGGCAACGAGGAGCAGGCCAUGGAGAUCAUCACGCGCUCUGGUGAGGAACUUAAGAAUAUCGGGCAGCAACGCGUGUCCCUGGACGAGAUGCGCGACUCCUCCAAGCCCGGGAAACAUCGUACCGUCAUCAGCAUCAAUGGGGAGGAUAAGGACAAACCCUACCUGGGCCGGGACUACAAGACGGACCGGGAGAUGAGGCAGUCGCACCGGGCGAGCCACGGCCACGGCUCUUUCCUCGAUCAGGAAGCCAAGUUCGCGCCCACCUCCAUCAAGAUCCAAAACCGGGAUAGUGCUGCGCGCCACCGAAACGAAUUUAUCCCUGAAAUCAAGGUGCAGGCGCUGACUCCAUCAAAACAAAAGGAGAACGACCUCAACGACGAGGGCUUCGAGGAGACACAGAGCCUUAACAGCCAGAGCACAAACAACGAAACCGACGGCGUGGAUUCUGCUCAUAAAACGUUUAACCGGACCGACAGCUCCGACAGCGCCCCCUCGCGGCCGGUCAGCCGAAGUUUGUCGCUCCGCAACCGGAUAUCCAGCGACAGCAGCGCCCCCAAACGGACCCCCAGCCUCCGGCGCACCGACUCAUUAUCGAAACCAAGAACGCCCACCCCCGUCGAGUCCACCCUGCGGCGCAAACUAGGCUCGAACCAAGACAUUAACAGUAGCAGUAAUAACAUUAAUAAAAUUAACAAUAUUAAUAGUUCCAGGACUAAUUUGAAGCUGUCUAACUUGAGCGACAAGAGCAAUCUCCUCAUCAAGAACGCCAAGAACAGCUCCGGGGACCUGCGCAAGCCCUCGCUGGCCCGCACCAACUCCCAGCGGAGCGUCCUCAAGACCUCAAACAUUAAGGUAAGAUCAUCGUCUCAAUCUCCGUGUGUGGCAGUAGAAUGAGCAAAGUAUAGUUGUACUGAGCUAUUUUCUUUAAAAUAAAUUCCUGGGUAUAGAACUUUUGAUAAGAAUCAGUUACUUCCUAACUUCAGCAAAUACGAAAAAUUGGCCACCUACAUGAUCUAACCGCAACUUUUCUUCGAUGUUUUUUCUAUGCCCAUAAUUUACCUAAACAAGAAAAAAAGUUCGGUGGCUGUUUUCUCAAAAGGCAGCUGUAGGGCUGAAGGCUGCUUUCCUCCACCUCCUCAAUCGAAGUGCAGCACCGUAUUAGGUGUGCACAACAUCAAUUUAAUUUUUUGGUUGGUGUGCAGCACCAACUCAGAUAACUAAAAAUAAGCCGGCUGUUUGUGCACAACACAUAGGUUAAUCAAAGAAGGGGCCAUUUCCAGGUGCUGCGCCCGGAACUUUCCGCCUCUGAGCCCGGAACGCGGACGGUAUGUCUAUGUAGCCCGUUAGUGCGGCUUCCACGGCAGGAGUUUUUUUUUUUUUUUUUUCAGUGUACUGUUCUGUUGGCCUUGUUGCCUUUAUCACAGGUGCACGUUGCAAAUAAAUUAACAUUUCAUAAUUUACUUUUUCAAGGUGGAACCAAGAAAGAAGGUGGAGCGAUCCAACUCGCGGAGCAGUCUCCGUAGCUCGCGGAGCUCCCUGAACAGCGCGACCUCCGUGAGCACGGUACGGAACCUCCAGCCGGGCGCCGGGCUCCGGAACUACACCAACACCAUGAAGUCGGAUCCGGGCAAACCCCUGGCUUCGGUACAGCUCAAGUCGAGGAGUUCGGUGCCAGCCAGCCGCAGCUCGAGUAGCGGGAGCAACAGCAGUGUGAGCGCCACCCCGGUCGCCUCCACGGUGAAGCGCCCCAAGAUCUCCUCGGGUCUCAGCACCAGCUUCAAGGAGAACUCCGGGACCGCCGCCCUCCGCAGUGGCAGCAUCAGCAACCAGGGCUCCAGAGCCACUAGCUCCUUCAUGCGACCCACCGCCUCCACGCAAGCCAAGAACACCGCUGAUAACCCUAAGCCUAAAGUUACCUCCUCCAGGUUGACUUUCAAGUGAGACAGUAAUUAGUAAUGAGUUAUUUAUGUUCCAAAAUUGGCCAGCAGUGGCGCCGGGUACUUUGCCAUGUAUCGAUUUACCUGCCGUCUAAACCUAUGGAAAAGGAUCGAUAAACAGGGUGUUCGCAACGGACACCUUAAUAGUCGACUCUUUACCGCAAAUUCAAAUGGGGGAAAUAUCGAUUAUCGAUCAUUCACGCUUCGCCACUGUUGGCCAGUCGCAACUUUUUCGCCACGUCCGCGGAAUGAUCAAGUCAUCCCCGUUGUUCAGUCUGGCGCAUGGGCUCAUUGGCAUAAUUUUCUGACUUUGAUUGGCCAGUUCGCAGAGUGGGCAACGGGGGUGACCUAUCCGCAGACGAGACAAAAAAGUUGCUCGGUCUCCGGAAUGGGCGAUUUCGCCGGGCGAAAUGUAACAUUUACACUGAGAAGAAGGCGGUCUCGUGUACCGGUAGACAGCUGAUUUUGAGCCGCCUCAUCCAUGUCCAUUUGUGCAAAAUAUUAGUUUUACAUUACUUAAUUGUUGUUGCACACCGACUAAAUUGGUGCUGUUGACCAACUACCACACUAUAAAUUAUGAUCUGACGAUGAUCGCCAAAAUUAGCCUAACUACAUACUACUUAUUGCCUAGUUAUUUCCUCUUCCGUGUUACGUUUUGUUUUUUUUUAAAGAAAAUCCAGAUAACAUUCUGCUAUGAGAUUGUGUAAUGGAAUUUUUAUAUUCUAGAGGUAACUCUUAAAAUAUUUUAAAGCAUAAAGUUUUGAAUUGCCUCAUGUUUGCCUCAUGUUGUUGUGUGAACAAAAUAAGAAAUCAGGCAUCAUGAAAUGUAAAUUGUCUUUCCGGUUAAAGUCAUUCAGUCGCUGCGCAGCAUUAAUUUAGUUGAUAUGUCACAUAAUAUUGACAGUUUACAACACCAAUUUGGUCUGUGUGCAGGACCAUUUGGGUUAAGUGGUUCAAAAGUAGGUCUAUUGGUGCUCAACACCAACUUUAUUUUUUUCGUAUGAUACUUUUUUGGUAUGUAAAUUUUCGGAAAAAAGCUUUGAGCUCUGCAAUUUUCAGAAUUUACUGUGACUAUGACCUGAAUCCCUGUGGUUUCAGUUAAUGUUUUUUCUUGGAACUUUGGAAUCAUUUCUAAUCUUCCCUCGAAACUUUCGGUUUUAAUCAAAGAACUUUUCCCGGAACAUGUUAAAUAGAUUUGAACCUCUCCAAAACUUUGAACAGUUCUGGUUGGAAACCUUGUCCGCAAUUUCAUUAGACACAUUUCUCUACUAAAACUCGAAAAAAUUUCUCUCGGUGUCAAGGGCUGACUUCCAUGUUUUAAUUAGUGCUGUGUUAAGUAUUGAUGUUUUGAAAAUUAAGAACAUAUUCUAUUUUUCUAUUCAGAACCGGACAAUUAGGCAACAGUGUUUUCAAAUCAUAUUUACAUAAGUUCCUGGUUGUACAAAAUACUCUUUUAGCUCAUCCCUUGUCUUCUCGAUGACAUAACUUGCCAUCAUUUCAGUCAUCCGUCCAUUCUGAUCAAGGAGGAAGGAGGUAUGCCGAAAGAAAUCGUGUAGUCAAUUAUUGAGUGGUCAAUCAAAAAAGCUUUGCUAAAAUAAAAAAUAUUUAUUCAUUGUUUUUAUUUAUUUAUUGAAUUUAGUCAAUUAUUCAGAUACUGAGCAAAAGUCAUAAAAAACAUCACCCAAGAAAGCGGUGCGCUUAAUCUAAACAGACGGCUGCCGAGAUGUAUCGAUGAAAAUGUUCAACUUUAAAAAUCUUAUGGAUUCAAUUUUUUCAAAACUAGUCCAAGCACUGAGUAAUUAAAAUCAGAGACCAGUCAUGAAUGAGGAGGAUUUUAAAAUUUGCGCCAAAAGUUUAAAAACGCACCUUUGAGGUAUUGAAACUCUGAGACAAUGAGUGAUGUAUGUACAGACAAUAAUCCUGCACUCAAGGAUAAGUGUCCGGAGUUUUAAAAUUUUACCGUGAAAAACUGUAUUAUUUUCUCCGUAAGUGUAGGAUAGUAUUCGUUUUUGGAAUUUGGAGGUCGAAAAUAGCUUACAAAAAUUUGUAAACGACGGACUAAUGAUAGGCCCAAAAGACCUGCAAAUUUCUUUGACGGCAGCUGUCUGAAAUUUCUGAAGGGUCAGUUAAAAAGAUAUCCAACUGAUUAGCCAAACGAGGAUGUAAUUUUAAAUAUCAUAAUAAUUGAAGUCCAUAAUAGUACCUACCUCAUGUGCAUUGUUCUGUUAGGCAACCAAAGUCGGUUCGGCCUAUUUCACUAACAGACCCCUCAUGGUCUGUUUACAAAAUUGUUUUUUUCUAGUUUUUCGUCCGAAUUUUAGACUUUUUACCAGUAAGUAUUACCAUUGGUGUUGUUUCCUUCAAGCAGUGGCAAUCAGUCUGAUACUUAUAGAAAGUUAUCAAUAACAUUUUUUUUCUAUUUUUAUAUAUAAUUUUAUUAGAAUUGUAAUAUUUUAAGUCCUUAAUUGUAUUAUAUUGAUUUUUAUUUUAUUAAUUUCAAAUGAUUGUUCUUCAUUUCUACCCACCCGAGAAAGUUCUAGCAGCAAUUACUCUGCGGGCACCGUUACGGAAGUCUAUAGCCGCAAAGUUUUUGUGUAUUACUAUUGUUGAUGAUUUCAUAGAAACCCUCAGAUGUAUGGACAAAUAUGACCGAUACCGAAAACAAAACAAUUGUUUUUCCCCGUACAACAGCGAAAUCGUUCUCAAAAAUAAAAAGAAUAAAAAGAUGAGAGGAGCCCAUGAAAUUGUAUUCUUAUGAAUGAAGGUGCAUCGUCACCGAGAGUUACAGUGAAGCAUCAACUCGCAAAAAUACGAACCACCGGUGUCAAUUUGUUUGCUGAAUUUUUUCUUUCUUUCCGUCCUUUGAGAUGCUAAAAGUGAUUUAUUUCUUGACAAAAUCUAAUUAAUUUACUUUUAAAUUUUGAUCUAACUUACUUUGAUUCAUUUAUCAAUGUCAUUAAUAUUAUAACUCUAGGUAGGUACCUUUAAUGAAAAACAAAAGCACUCAACUUUACAAAAAAUAAUAAAAAUCA